Molecule: ribosomal RNA, 122 nt
Organism: Corchorus capsularis
Lineage: Eukaryota; Viridiplantae; Streptophyta; Magnoliopsida; Malvales; Malvaceae
Source: Rfam
GGGUGCGAUCAUACCAGUCCCUAAUGCACCGGAUCUCAUCAGAACUCUGCAGUGAAGCGUGCUUGGGCGUAGAGUAGUACUAGGUUGGGUGACCUCCUGGGGAAUCCGUCGUGUUGCACCCC